Molecule: ribosomal RNA, 467 nt
Filed under: uncultured bacterium
Lineage: Bacteria
Description: partial 16S ribosomal RNA
Rfam family: Bacterial small subunit ribosomal RNA
Source: RNAcentral
GAUGAACGCUGGCGGCGCGCCUAACACAUGCAAGUCGAACGAUUAAAGCACCUUCGGGUGUGUAUAAAGUGGCGAACGGCUGAGUAACACGUGGGCAACCUGCCCCUCUCAUUGGGAUAGCCACGGGAAACCGUGGAUAAUACCGAAUACUUCGGGACUUCCGCAUGGAAGACUCGAGAAAGCUCCGGCGGAGAGGGAUGGGCGGGCGGCCUGUUAGCUUGUUGGUGGGGUAAUGGCCUACCAAGGCAAUGAUGGGGAGCUGGGUUGAGAGACCGGCCAGCAGGAGGGGAAUGAAGAGAGGCCCCAGCCCCCAAGGGGGGACAACGGGGGGAAGUCUGCACCAGGGGUAGAGGGCGGGUGGAGGCGCCCCGGGGGGGGGAAAGACGGCUUGCGGGUUGAGAAACGCUUCAAGCAGAGACGGGGCGAAUGUGACGGUACCGAAAGAAUAAGCCCCGGCUAACUCCGUG